Molecule: long non-coding RNA, 693 nt
Filed under: Podarcis lilfordi (Lilford's wall lizard)
Lineage: Eukaryota; Metazoa; Chordata; Lepidosauria; Squamata; Lacertidae
Source: RNAcentral
AGAGGAUGAAGAGGAUCCCAUCUAGAUCUCUUUCAGAAGGGAAGCCAGACUCCUUUAGAGAGCUCGCCAUGGCCUGGCCUCUGUUCUUCCUGGCACUUCUGAGCUACUGCUCAAGUAAAUCCCCACAGCUGUCUAUGGAUGCUUGUUUGUAAUUUCUUUUUGUUUUUAACUUGUCUUUAACUUUCUAUGAUUUUAUUGUUUUUAUAUUGUUGUAAACCAUGGUGAUCUUCUAUUUUAUGAGACAGAGGAAUAUAAAUAUUUUCAUAAAUAAAAGUAUGGAGGAUUCAGUAUACACAGCCCAAGAUCAAAUCUCUUUUCAUGAUGUACUCAUCAUGGGGACAUUAUGCUUUUUGUGAAAGUCAUGAUUUAUUUCCCAUUUCUUUGUUCAGGUGUCACUUCACAAGCAACAGUGACGCAGCCUGCUUCUUCAUCUGUCGCCCUCGGCCAAACAGCUAAACUCUCCUGCACUGGCAGUCAUGGUGGGAGCUGGUCCGACUAUCAGUGGCAUCAACAGAAACCCGGACAGGCUCCUCGCUUUGUGAUCUAUAGUACCAGCACCCGGGGAGAAGGGAUCCCAGAUCGGUUCACUGGCUCUUCCUCUGGGAACACUUACUAUUUAACCAUCUCCAACACCCAGACUGAAGAUGAGGCAGUUUAUUACUGUCUUGCUUGGGAAAACAACAGUGAAACGUU